UCAGGGGAUAGAGCGUCUGCCUCCGGAGCAGAAGGCCGCAGGUUCGAAUCCUGCCGGGGGCACUCUCAUCAUU
RNAcentral lists this transfer RNA (73 nucleotides) under Mycobacterium terramassiliense. Its description in RNAcentral is "Mycobacterium sp. AB308 partial tRNA-Arg". The stretch from base 1 to 62 matches the Rfam family "tRNA", at positions 12 to 71 of the family's 71-position model. From Rfam's summary of the family: Transfer RNA (tRNA) molecules are approximately 80 nucleotides in length. Lineage: Bacteria; Bacillati; Actinomycetota; Actinomycetes; Mycobacteriales; Mycobacteriaceae. The record is from RNAcentral.